GGUAUGCACUGUUUUGAUACCAAUUGUUGUGAAUCUUCAACCCUAGGCAUCGUUUAACCCACUGUGCCGCUCAAUCCAUCAUACACCUCGACCUUUUCAUUAAGACUGCCUCCAACCAAAGUUGGACUACCAAAUCAUACAUCUAGAUCUUCCACCUUGGAAAACAUCCCUUUUCGUCAAUUCUUUCAGCCUCCACCUUCAACCCACUAUUCUUGGUUGGUCAAACCACAGCAAUAACAAAGAUAGAUCUGAGACAUAUCGUGGAAUAGGUGUGCAGAUUUCAGCUUUCACCUUAUAUGACUUCUCCUUUACUUCCAUACUCCAUCAGGCUUUGAUACUAAUUAUUGUGAAUCUUCAACCCUAGGCAUCGCUUAACCCACUGCAUCGCUCAAUCUGUAUGCGCUGUUGUGAUACCAAUCGUUGAGAAACCCCUAAUUUUACCGUUAGGAUCUCCUGGAUUACUUGCGUAGAAUUUGGAUGUUAAUCUAGAAAACUUGAGAAAUACUUUCUGAAGAUUGAUAAUAAAAUAUUAAAAUUUAUUAUAGGUCAUCUUUUUGAGAUUGGUGAUCCAAAAUCAUUGAAAUUUGUUAAUCCAAUUUUUGAUACGAGGUAGGUGAAAGAAUCGGCAUGGUCUGGCUAAAGACGGUAAACUUAGUGCUUUCUGGGAGGUAAUCUAGUUUCAGUUUUUAUUUUUGCCUUUUCUUUCUUUUGUAUUUUGUUUAGGUUAAUCGAGUCUUAUAUGUCUUUUAUAGAGAUUUGAAGACAAUAUUGGCUCAGUUAAAAAAUUAAUUUUGAAAAGACUUCUGGAUCAUGUGACAUCUCUCAUUUUCUUUCUCUUCACAUGUAUCUUUUAUUUUUCCUACUCUAUUGAGAACAAUGUCGAUUAAGUUGGAGAGGAGAAUAAUCUAUUUUUUUUUUUAAGUUCUUAAGUUAGUAUUUAGCAUUUAAGCACCUGAUUAUACUUAAGAAUCGAGUUAAACCAAAUAUUUUUAAAAAAAUUAAUGUAUAGACUAGAGAGUUUAUGAGAUAUUGAGGGAUCAAGUAUUAAGAAAACUCAAUAACAAGUUAAGUUUAGAACUUAAACAGUUUUUUUUGAGCAUUUCUAAAUUUUUCUACCAGCAUCGAAGAAGAGUUUACUUCUUAUGGGCUUGUAUAGGGUAACUGUAUGUUUCUUCAUAUAUAUAUAUAUAUAUAAAAGAGAAGUUUUCAAAUAUUUCAUGCUGAGUAACUGGAUCUCUUUGCCUAAGUAAGCAUUGAGUUCUCAUCAAAAGGUAUGAAGGGCAAAGAAGCUUUGUUGUAAAGUUAGUUUUAACUCGUAGCCUGUUUGAUUGGAGCAAGCUAUUUGGUUCAGGAGUCAUUGGCUAAAAAUUCGUUACAUGGGUUAAAUAGAAAGCUUUUUAAGGGAUUAAGACACUCAAUAGUGGUACAAUAUUAAAAAAAAUAAAAAGAAGAAGAGUAAAGUUUAAACAUUGAUCUUCCAUCGAGUAAUUGGACCCCUUCGUCUAAGUAAGCAUUGUGGUUUGUACCAAAAAGUGGACAAUAUGAAGAUAUUUUUUUUAUAAUAAAUGAAGGAUGAAAGUAACAAUAUACUUGUUCAUGCGAAGGUUAAUGAUUUGGAGAUAAAGGUAGG
This 1630-nucleotide long non-coding RNA is filed under the name Elaeis guineensis (African oil palm). Its description in RNAcentral is "long non-coding RNA (EGUI_LNC037480)". Lineage: Eukaryota; Viridiplantae; Streptophyta; Magnoliopsida; Arecales; Arecaceae. The record is from RNAcentral.